CCUACGGGAGGCAGCAGUGGGGGAUAUUGCACAAUGGGGGGAACCCUGAUGCAGCGACGCCGCGUGGGUGAAGAAGCGCCUCGGCGCGUAAAGCCCUGUCAGCAGGGAAGAAAAUGACGGUACCUGAAGAAGAAGCCCCGGCUAACUACGUGCCAGCAGACGCGGUAAUACGUAGGGGGCAAGCGUUCUCCGGGUGUACGGGGUGUAACGGGGGCGGAGGCGGCGAUGCAAGCCAGGAGUGAAAGCCCGGGGCCCAACCCCGGGACUGCUCUUGGAACUGCGUGGCGGGAGUGCAGGAGGGGCAGGCGGAAUUCCUGGUGUAGCGGUGAAAUGCGGAGAUAUCAGGAGGAACACCGGUGGCGAAGGCGGCCUGCUGGACUGCAACGGACGUUGAGGCCCGAAAGCGUGGGGAGCAAACAGGAUUAGAUACCCUAGUAGUC
RNAcentral lists this ribosomal RNA (440 nucleotides) under uncultured bacterium. RNAcentral's name for it is "partial 16S ribosomal RNA". It matches the Rfam family "Bacterial small subunit ribosomal RNA", at positions 338 to 795 of the family's 1533-position model. The record is from RNAcentral.